GACGAACGCUGGCGGCGUGCUUAACACAUGCAAGUCGAACGACGAAGCGCUAGCUUGCUGGUGUGGAUUAGUGGCGAACGGGUGAGUAACACGUGAGUAACCUGCCCUCUACUCUGGGAUAAGCCUGGGAAACUGGGCCUAAUACUGGACAUGAUCAAUCACUGCAUGGUGUGUUGGUGGAAAGAGUUUUUGGUGGGGGAUGGACGCGCGGCCUAUCAGCUUGUUGGUGGGGUAAUGGCCUACCAAGGCGACGACGGGUAGCCGGCCUGAGAGGGCGACCGGCCACACUGGGACUGAGACACGGCCCAGACUCCUACGGGAGGCAGCAGUGGGGAAUAUUGCACAAUGGGCGAAAGCCUGAUGCAGCGACGCCGCGUGAGGGAUGACGGCCUUCGGGUUGUAAACCUCUUUCACCAGGGACGAAGCUAACGUGACGGUACCUGGAGAAGAAGCACCGGCUAACUACGUG
Molecule: ribosomal RNA, 469 nt
Filed under: uncultured bacterium
Lineage: Bacteria
Description: partial 16S ribosomal RNA
Rfam family: Bacterial small subunit ribosomal RNA
Source: RNAcentral